GAUGAACGCUGGCGGCGUGCCUAAUACAUGCCAGUCGAGCGAACAGACGAGGAGCUUGCUCCUCUGACGUUAGCGGCGGACGGGUGAGUAACACGUGGAUAACCUACCUAUAAGACUGGGAUAACUUCGGGAAACCGGAGCUAAUACCGGAUAAUAUAUUGAACCGCAUGGUUCAAUAGUGAAAGACGGUUUUGCUGUCACUUAUAGAUGGAUCCGCGCCGCAUUAGCUAGUUGGUAAGGUAACGGCUUACCAAGGCAACGAUGCGUAGCCGACCGGAGAGGGUGAUCGGCCACACUGGAACUGAGACACGGUCCAGACUCCUACGGGAGGCAGCAGUAGGGAAUCUUCCGCAAUGGGCGAAAGCCUGACGGAGCAACGCCGCGUGAGUGAUGAAGGUCUUCGGAUCGUAAAACUCUGUUAUUAGGGAAGAACAAAUGUGUAAGUAACUAUGCACGUCUUGACGGUACCUAAUCAGAAAGCCACGGCUAACUACGUG
This 497-nucleotide ribosomal RNA is filed under the name uncultured bacterium. RNAcentral describes it as "partial 16S ribosomal RNA". It matches the Rfam family "Bacterial small subunit ribosomal RNA", at positions 28 to 507 of the family's 1533-position model. The record is from RNAcentral.